GUAGGUGGCAAGCGUUGUCCGGAAUUAUUGGGCGUAAAGCGCGCGCAGGCGGUCCUUUAAGUCUGAUGUGAAAGCCCACGGCUCAACCGUGGAGGGUCAUUGGAAACUGGGGGACUUGAGUACAGAAGAGGAAAGCGGAAUUCCAAGUGUAGCGGUGAAAUGCGUAGAGAUUUGGAGGAACACCAGUGGCGAAGGCGGCUUUCUGGUCUGUAACUGACGCUGAGGCGCGAAAGCGUGGGGAGCAAACAGGGAUUAGAUACCCGUGGUAGUCCACGCCGUAAACGAUGAGUGCUAAGUGUUAGGGGGUUUCCCGCCCCUUAGUGCUGCAGCUAACGCAUUAAGCACUCCGCCUGGGGGAUACGGCCGCAAGGCUG
This 374-nucleotide ribosomal RNA is filed under the name uncultured organism. RNAcentral's name for it is "partial 16S ribosomal RNA". It matches the Rfam family "Bacterial small subunit ribosomal RNA", at positions 527 to 896 of the family's 1533-position model. The record is from RNAcentral.